CCGAGGGUCGUCAGCCGGAGGGGCGGAGGAGGUUGUAGCGGACCUCUCCUCGAGGAGACACGAAGGCUCGGCGGAGGAGCUCGUCCCGUCGGUCUCCCUUCCCUCAGCGGUGUACCUUGUGUUGACUUUGCGGGGCGGAACCUCGAGCGACGGAGGCCUUUGGAGAGACAGCCGGAGCACGAGGAGGCAGAGCUCGUGGGGGAGGACCGGCGGCAGGUAGAGAACCGCCACGGACAAUCCGUCCGCAACUACGAAUAGGAGCCGAGAGAGAGACAGUCGACAGAGGAAGUCCUGCUCCUCCUACUUACCCCGAGAGCGUCGACCCGGCGACGCCGGCUCAACUGACUCCCGCUCGCGCGCGCAGGCCGCGUAUACCGGGGCGGAGUCGCGGAGGCGAGGACGAGGAGGAGAGCG
This 414-nucleotide ribosomal RNA is filed under the name Triticum aestivum (bread wheat). Its description in RNAcentral is "partial small subunit ribosomal RNA". The record is from RNAcentral. Lineage: Eukaryota; Viridiplantae; Streptophyta; Magnoliopsida; Poales; Poaceae.